GGUUGCCUUGUAUUUGAACUGGUGUGAGAGAUCCUUAUUUGGAACCAUCGUGGGUCUUAAAAGGCUCAAAGACACAGAUCACUGGCUUUGUUUGCCUGAAGGUACCUGGCUGGAAAAUGACAGAACCAAGACUUGAGUGGUCUUAACCAUUAUGAUUUCGGCUUCACAAAAAUCAAAACUUCUUUAAAGAAA
Molecule: long non-coding RNA, 192 nt
Filed under: Sus scrofa (pig)
Lineage: Eukaryota; Metazoa; Chordata; Mammalia; Artiodactyla; Suidae
Description: lncRNA (ENSSSCG00045008595.1)
Source: RNAcentral